Long non-coding RNA from Falco peregrinus (peregrine falcon), 6095 nucleotides. RefSeq lists it as uncharacterized. The transcript has 3 exons. The record is from RefSeq and is a predicted model, not a curated record. NCBI's taxonomy places the organism in Eukaryota, Metazoa, Chordata, Aves, Falconiformes, Falconidae.
ACCUGUUCCUGGCUCUCACCCUGCGAUUCCCCUCUGACAGAGGACUGUCCUCUUCAGGUGAGGACAGUGAGGCUCCAGGGGAGACCCAGGGACUCACCCCCAGCCACAGGUGGGGCUUUUCCCCAAGCUGGGAUCAGCCCUGGCCACUGUUCACUGGGGAUGCUGCUUGCUGGUCCCCACGUGGCUGGAGCAGUUGCAUGCUUGGACAGUUUCAUGCUAUCUUUUGCCAAACACAGAUCUUCUUGUUUGUACUCUUUGAGGUCAAAAUGGGCCAGAAACUAUAUGUCAGGGUUUUUUUAAUUUCCUAAAGCAGGAGUGGUUCCUACCCACAGGGCCUGCGGCAGAGGGGAAAGGACACCAGCAAGUUCCCACAAGGGAUGUUCUCAGAAUUUUGCUGCGUUUGCAGAUGUCGAAGGCGCUGACCGUGCCUACCUGCCCCCCAGGACCACCCUGCGCCCUCUGGAUGGAUGUGUUCACCUUUACCAAAUUUUGCAUUUCCACAUAAGCCCUCAUGGAUAGUGGCAAAUAAAUCCCGCUUUGGGCUCUUUCGCAUACCCAUCCCACCGCUCAGCUGGACACAUGGAGCUGGGUGCUACCAAGGGGUGCAUUACCCCUCAGGACAGUUGUCCCCGGGGCUGUGACCAAGCAGAUGGACAAGUGGCUCUGGCACAAGGACCAGACACCCACUGUGUCCCUUCCUUCAUCUCCCACCACCGAGCACCCCAGGAAGGCACUGCAGAGGAGGACACACCGGGUAGACCUGCUGAAAGAUGACCAGGUGCCUCUCACUGAUCCUGAACUGCAGGCUGAUUUUCUGGCUUGAUUUUAGACCUGUCUCAUUGUGGGGAACUUCCCUGAUGGUCUGUCUGGACUCCUGGUUGAACAUUUCUACUACCUCUGCAUCUGCCAUGAUUUGGAGCAGAGGAAUGGGGUCCUUGCCGGUAAGACUGCCCCAUAGCUGUGGUGUCUCUUCUGGCUUCCUGGACCUUUGGGAGCCCCUGGCCCUUGCUGUGCCCUAAUGGGGGGUGGGGGGGUGGGGGUUGUAUAAGGACUACCGGAGCACAUACAGCGUUAUGAGAGAGGGAACUGUGGGGUAUAGGUGUUAACAGGGCACUAUCUGCUGGGGUGCUGUAGGACAGUCUCCUCUGCGAUGCCCGUUGCAGCACUUGCCAAUGCUGCUCCAGUGCAAGGACCUUGGAGACGGGUGUACCCACAGCUGGGGUGCAGAGGAAGGAGGUGACAUGUUAAGCUGUGCAGCAGCAGUUGAGCUGUGAAGCUGCAGCUGAUUUCUCAGGCAUGCUGGUGCAGGGAUGCAGACUUUGCACUUGUGGGUCUGGGAUCAGAUUCCUCACCGGUAUCUGUCUCUGUUGUGCUGCCUUUUGAAGCACACACCGAGAUGGCCACAUUUCCAGCACCGAGUCAGCUCCCUGUAGUGAUAACCUUGUGCACAGGCACCCAUGUGAGGAGCUGGGAAACCAGAAACUUAGACCCCACAGAGUGCUCUUACCAGAGAAGUCCCCUGACUCUGCGUGGGGACAGGCAGUAGUAAACGGAGUCUGGGGAAUUUACUUUCUUCUUCAAUCCUUACUCCCCGCAGCUGCUGAGAUGGAUGCCAUGAGCAGGAACGUACUUGCAGAGGAUGAUGAGAUGCAAUUGCCGUAAUGUCUUUCUCUUUUUCAAGCCUAUUUCAUUUAAGCUUUUUGCAGCUCCCGCAGGUGCUUGGGUUGCAGCAAGGAAGGCAAGUGGUGAAAUUAUAAUGGCAGAGCUUGCUAAGAGCAGGAGGGACAGGUUAAGCUAUAGCUGUGCUUUAGUCAGGCAGGUGUCUGGUGGAGAGAUGAUUCAAACCCAAAUGAAGUGAUUUCUCCUGGUGCUGCUCUAGCCUGAUAACUGUGAUAACACAAAUUGAAUGCAUUUGUUGGCCUUGAUUCACAUCACGGUGGGUGUUUUCAGUGGCUGAAAUGUCAGUGCAAGGCAGGUUUUAGGAGGACUUAAAAAAUAGCUGUAGUUAGGGCUGGGCUUGGAAUAUUUGCCCGUGGGAGGAGCAUGCAAAGGUGAUGGGUGCUGUCAGGAACCAGAGCUGUUAGUGAAAGAACUGGUUUCAUCCUAAACCACCUCAAGCUCACAGGAUAUAGGGGAGACAGGGAAAUGCAACUGUGAUGACAUAGUUCAGCCAAAGUGAGAGAAGUUUUGACAGCUUUGGCACCAGCUGAUCUGUAAGGCAAACUCCAGCCCCAAGGAGAACGGUGAAGUAAAAUCAAUCUGGGCAGAUUUAGCUAGGAUGACUGUCUUCUCCAUGGAGCUUAAUCCAGGACAUGGACCCGCAAUGCCUGGGAUGUUUCCACCUCACCCACAUACUCGGAGAGAACUGAAGCACGCUGUUAACAGUUAUCCUGGCUGUAUUAAAUCAGGCAUACCAUGCCUUUUCCCUCCUUGUCCUCAGAAAAGGGUUCCAUGGCUUUUCCGUGCUUAGUAUGUCCCGUUCCCAUCUCCCAAGCCUUUUGAGGGAGGGAAAGGCUGUCAGGUCUUGUACAUAGCUCACUGCUGGUCUGCCCUGAGCUGCCUUUCUCUGCUUUCUGACUAGUUGUGCUGUUAUAACACACUGAUCUACUCUUGGCUUUCAGUUUAAGGGGUGAAACUCUCAGAUGCCGUGUGUGGCUCUCCAAGGCAUGGGCUCUGCCCUCCCAGCUGCACCUGCUGGAUGCUUCUCUGCUGCUUUCCUGCCAGGCUACACCCUUGUACCAACCCUGGGUUUGGAGGCUCUUGUCACUGCCUCUGUUGCGCUGCUUGUCUCAGCCCCUUUGGGACCCUGUGCCAGGACAGUCCCCAGGAUGGGACAAUGGCUUCAGCUCACACUGUCCCAGUAGGUAAACUGGGUGACUGUAGCUUGGCAGGCUUCCCCCACAGAGGCAGUGUUGGGGGAGUAGACAUGGACACGCAGAAGCUCAUCACGCUCAGCUCCUGUCACUGUGAGAGAUGUGGAGGCAGACAGAGCAGUGAGGAUGUACUGACAGCUUGUUGCCUUCACUUACCUCAUGGUGGCAGGUGCUGGCUGCUUCCCCAGGGCAGUUUUGCCAAAUUUAUGUGUAUUUUUUCUGCUGUCACCACCCUGCACCUGCAAAUAUAGACCUUUGAGGUGGGCUGGGCAGCUAUCCUCUGUGCAGAGAGCUGGGGGCUGCUGGCAGGAGCAGUGUCCCAGGAGCUGCUCCUAGAACCUGUCAUGAGCUGCUCGGUCCUCUGCUUGUGUCCCCCUGGGGACAGUGGGUUUGACUUUUUCCAGCUGGCCAAAUACAAAGGCCACAAAGCAACUGGCUGCACAAGCAUUGUUGUUGCCUGGUCAGCUGGUGAAAGUGGGUUGUAGACCCACCUUCAACAGCUCAGCUGGCAGUGUCAUGGGCUGGCAGGAGACUUCCAGCACAUGGUUCUACCUCCACGGAGGAGCCUCCAUCAGCUCUUCAUGUGAACAGCACCGUGCGGAUGUGUGGCUGGGCAGGCAUUGCACAUGAUGUGCCAGUGGAGGACUUUUUAAUGAUGCCUCCAGUACUGGCCAAGGCAGGUUUGUCAGAUGUGAUUCACCUGCCUCAUGACAAAUCUGGCUGGCCAGACAAGUGACCUUUGAGUCUUGUGUAUUAGCUCAUGGAAACCUGAAUCAACAAUGACUGAGGAAAGGGAAAUACCUGACAAGGAACAAUCCCAGGACAGCCCCGCUGAGGAGCUGGGAUGAGCAGGGGUAAGAACCGCAAGGUGAGGGGGGAGGGACACCCAUGCCCCCCUGCUUUUCCAACCAGCAUCCACCCAUAAGCCAGCCAGCCAGCAAACUCUUUUGGAAAGCAUUACUUCACAAAGAAAAAUGCUCAGUGGCUGACAGUGCCUCGGGCAGAGCACUGCUCUAGCAGAAGUUUAGGCUCAGAGGCCAACUCCUUCCCCCUCAUGCCUGGGUCUGGGUGGCUUUCUGGCCCACCCUGUAGGGUGUCCUUGGGGCCAGCGCUGCUGGCGUGCUGUCCUGUCCCUCACCCAGGCCCUGGGUGAUGGAGAAGGAGCUCUGCACGUAGGUUAACCUAAUGCUGUAGAGGGGUGGUUUUGUUCAGAAGGGGACUUUCAGCUGUGUCAUUAGGUGUUGGGCUGCUUGCUCUGCUGGAGCCGCUUGCAGCAGCAGAUCGGUGGCUGGUCAACAUCAUCCUGAGCCUUGGUCCUUUGGGUGCGUCUGCCCCUGCACCAAGCCAUGGUUUGGCUCAGACAUCCCACUCCAGCAUGUGCCAAGAGUUGCUCUCUGUGUUCCUGCAGGAGCAGCUGCCGAAACAUGCUUUUCCAUGCUGGGGAUUGACAUUUUUUGCUCUGGACACAUGGAGUGACUGAUGAUGAGCAGGAAAAUGAAGUGUUUCUCUCGGCAGCAGGGGGUGAGAUGCGUGCAGAGGGAAGGAGUAGAAUUCUCUGUGAAUUGGCAAAGGCAGCCAGGUGUGAGAGAGAAGCAUGGGUGUUGUGGGGUGCCCCCACCCCAGGGGUCUCAAGCUGGGUCAUUGACAUGUACUAUCUCCUCUCCCUGGACACCUCCUCCUGGGCUGCGUGGAGGGUUGGGGGACUUCUUGGUGAGGACGGGGUCCAUCCCACAGCUUUUUAUCAACUAGAAGUGGGACAUCUGAGCUGGGUGAGCAAAUUAAUCCAAGCAGGGGGCUGCUGAGCCACACAGAGAUCCACUCCUUUAGUUGGCAGCUGUGGUGGUCUCUGAUAUCACUGUUGCUGCCUUCUAUCCCUGGAUAUUCAUCAUUGCUUCUCUGCUGGAGGCCAUCUCCACCACAGCCAACAACAUGGGAGUGCUCCUCAGCCGUUUCUGGGGGGAGUCCAGUGGAUUUAGGUGAAAGUGCUGGAGGAGGUGUGAUUGUGGACUUUGCACAGGAGUGGCUGAUGAGAUGUCACAUCCCUGACAGUGAGUCUGUGGUGGAACAGGGGUCCCCACCAGGAGGGACGGUACCAAAUGUCAGGAGUGUGGGAAGAGCUGGUGCCUGGGGUCGUGGCACAUUGCUGUCUCAGCCAGCUAUGCUGUGAUGUUGUUAGAGGAGCCUGUUAUGGGGAAAAGGGAAAUAGAAGAACUGGGCAGUGAAGGGAAGGGAGACACGAGAGCCAGUCAAAUACACAUGUCUUGCACCUCAAGGUGGUGAUGAGGCAGGGUUAGCGACCUCACUGCUGCUGGACCCUCUGGCUGCCCAGGACACCUCUUGGGAUGGCAGAUGCCAGGUGUCGGGCCACCCUGCUCAGGCGGCACCGCAGUCCCCUGAAGGGAUGCCCAUAAGCCUUGACCUCAGCCUGCUCACGCAUGUUAAACAGCGACUGCUGCCUUUCCCUGGCAUUGUGCGAACCCCAGCCCAAAUAUGUGUAGGUUUGCAGUGAGGGAGAAAUGAAAAAGCUGCCCAGUGCUGGGGGUAUGACGGUGCAGCCCUUGGCUUUUGUUUGGCCCUUUUCUCAGGUGAGGUCCUGCUGGGAUCACCAAGGGUGAGUAAAUCCUCCCAUUCCCAGAGCCCAUAGGUGAGGGCAAAUAAACCGUUGUCCCGGCUCUGCCUGUGCACAGAUGCUGAGCCCUGUGGGGAAGGGAGGACAGGCGUCCCACCAUCUGAUCCUCCUCCCCAGUCCCACAAUGAGCGAGAAGCUCUUCCAGCAAGAGAUCAGAAACCCAGGCAGCACAAUUAGAAUUAUAAUAAUAGUAAUUACUGCCUUGCCUCUCUCUAAGGAUUUUCUAGUGAGGCUCACCAGGUGCUGGCUGGGCAUUAACUAAUUAAAGCAAUAGCAUCCACGUGAAGGGGAUGGGUGCCAGCUGGGUCACGGGACUGCAGCAGCUCAGCUGGGGGCUCGUGUUCUCCCUGCCCUCAUCUUUAUCCAGGCUUGGGGGGGGAAGGUUAAAAGGGAGGAGCUCGAUUGGGAGGUACGUCCCCGAAUGGGCCCUCUUACCGCAGGGAUGAGGGUUAAUGUAUGGGAGAGAAGAAGAGCAGGUCAGGAGCACUCCGCAUGCUACCCACGGGUGCUCCUCUGGUCCCCAGUGAUGUGAGCUAAAGGGCUUGCGCAUACCUCUGUGUGCGUUUGGGGAUAAAUAAACUCUAAUGCAUCAA